AACCUUUUUUUCUCUCCCCCUCCUUUCUGCUGGAAAUGCCGCACAUCAGAUAAGGUGACAGUUCCUUUUUCCGACUUCCUCUCUUUAGCAUCAGGUAAGGAGGAAAACGGACGGCGGGCGGGCAAAAAAAAUGGACUCUGCUCUCUCUUCUUCUUCUUCCUUUCAUGCUCCGCCACGUCUUGGUCCCUCUGGCAUGAAUCUACUACAAACCCAUUACUCCAGCUCUUUCUUCUUCAACCCCGUCCCCAACAGAAAUCCCAUCUCCACAGCCAACAGGCCCUCUUUGCUUUCAACUCAACAGCCAUCAAGAAAGUUGCGUUGCCUACCACCUGCUGGCAAGUAUGUCAGAGAGGAUUAUCUUGUGAAAAAACUGUCUGCUAAAGAAGUCCAAGAUCUGGUGAAGGGAGAGAGAAAUGUACCACUAAUAAUCGAUUUCUACGCAACAUGGUGCGGUCCCUGUAUUUUGAUGGCUCAAGAACUUGAAAUGUCAUUGGACAGGAUGAAAUGGAAGGAGAUUUUUCCUUGAAUAGAUGAGAGAAGAUUUGUCUUUCAACAAAUGAAAAGAGGACUCAGCUAAUUUCUAGAUCUAAGGCACGACUUGCGAGAGAAAAAAAGGACCAUCACGAGGACCUUCCGCUCAAUUACUAUUAAGCAUAUUUUCAGAGAAGCGAAUCAGUGUGCGGACUUUUUGGCUAAAAAGAGAGUUGAAACUGCUAAUGACUUUUGUGUUUUGACUAGUAAACCCGUAGAACUUUCCUAUCUAAUGGAUCUAGAUUGUUGAGGCUUUUUUCUUCCAAGAAUUGUAUCUUUAACUAGUUAGUAAUAUUAUAUCCCUUUCAUACCCCCCCUAAAAAAAAGAACACAUAGCUUGUAUAAAAAUAAGAUUAAAACUCAAAUA
Non-coding RNA from Coffea arabica (coffee), 898 nucleotides. Lineage: Eukaryota; Viridiplantae; Streptophyta; Magnoliopsida; Gentianales; Rubiaceae. The record is from RefSeq and is a predicted model, not a curated record.